CAAACUGAAGAUGGCGACCGGCGCACGGGUGAGUAACACGUAUCCAACCUGCCGAUAACUCCGGAAUAGCCUUUCGAAAGAAAGAUUAAUACCGGAUAGUAUACGAAUAUCGCAUGAUAUUUUUAUUAAAGAAUUUCGGUUAUCGGUGGGGAUGCGUUCCAUUAGUUUGUUGGCGGGGUAACGGCCCACCAAGACUACGAUGGAUAGGGGUUCUGAGAGGAAGGUCCCCCACAUUGGAACUGAGACACGGUCCAA
RNAcentral lists this ribosomal RNA (255 nucleotides) under uncultured bacterium. RNAcentral's name for it is "partial 16S ribosomal RNA". It matches the Rfam family "Bacterial small subunit ribosomal RNA", at positions 77 to 334 of the family's 1533-position model. The record is from RNAcentral.